This 397-nucleotide ribosomal RNA is filed under the name uncultured bacterium. RNAcentral's name for it is "partial 16S ribosomal RNA". It matches the Rfam family "Bacterial small subunit ribosomal RNA", at positions 523 to 918 of the family's 1533-position model. The record is from RNAcentral.
AUACGUAGGUGGCACGCGUUGUCCGGAUUUAUUGGGCGUAAAGCGAGCGCAGGCGGUUUCUUAAGUCUGAUGUGAAAGCCCCCGGCUCAACCGGGGCGGGUCAUUGGAAACUGGGAGACUUUAGUGCAGAAGAGGAGAGUGGAAUUCCAUGGGUAGCGGUGCAAUGCGUAGAUAUAUGGAGGAACACCAGUGGCGAAGGCGACUCUCUGGUCUGUAACUGACGCUGAGGCUCGAAAGCGUGGGGAGCAAACAGGAUUAGAUACCCUGGUAGUCCACGCCGUAAACGAUGAGUGCUAAGUGUUGGAGGGUUUCCGCCCUUCAGUGCUGCAGCUAACGCAUUAAGCACUCCGCCUGGGGAGUACGACCGCAAGGUUGAAACUCAAAUGAAUUGACGGGG